AAGAAUCGUAUGAAUCGAGAUAUUCACGUACGGAUCUGUGAGAAGCUAAAGGGUAAGAUUCUUGGGCUUACUCGAU
RNAcentral lists this unclassified non-coding RNA (76 nucleotides) under Legionella fallonii LLAP-10. Lineage: Bacteria; Pseudomonadati; Pseudomonadota; Gammaproteobacteria; Legionellales; Legionellaceae. The record is from RNAcentral.